This 66-nucleotide transfer RNA is filed under the name Hernandia nymphaeifolia. RNAcentral's name for it is "tRNA-Phe". It matches the Rfam family "tRNA". From Rfam's summary of the family: Transfer RNA (tRNA) molecules are approximately 80 nucleotides in length. Lineage: Eukaryota; Viridiplantae; Streptophyta; Magnoliopsida; Laurales; Hernandiaceae. The record is from RNAcentral.
CCAUUUAUGGCUAAAGCGCCCAACUAAAGAUUGGGAAAUUCGUAGGUUCAAUUCCUGCUGGAUGCA